This 69-nucleotide transfer RNA is filed under the name Philanthus triangulum (European beewolf). RNAcentral describes it as "tRNA-Leu". The record is from RNAcentral. Lineage: Eukaryota; Metazoa; Arthropoda; Insecta; Hymenoptera; Crabronidae.
GUUAUUUUGGCAGAUUAGUGCAAUAAAUUUAGAUUUUAUUAAUAUAUAUAUAAAGUUAUAUAAAUAAUA